GCCAAAUCAAAUAUGAAGAGAAGCAUGCACGUGGUUAGACUGGAUGGCCAAAAAGGAAGGAGUUAAAAUCUCGCAUAAAAACAAUGGAGGUGAGCAAAUUAUUGGAAGUAUGCGAAAUCUUGUAGAUGGGUAUUGCGCGUCAACAAACUCAGUUUUCGAAUACCUGGGUUGCGUGUGGCAUGGUUGUACGAUGUGCGAUACAAACAAGGAUGGUAGUGGAAAUCUGUUGGAACGCCAUCAGCUUAUGGAAAAAUCGUAGGAACAGCUCAAUAAAGAAACAAUGCAACGGUUGAAACGUUUGGAGACUGAAGGGUAUAAUGUCCAUUUUAAAUGGGGGUGUCAGUGGCGGCGUGAGCAACAGGAUCCGGAGAUUCGAAACUUCAUCUGCAAAAACAAACCCGCGUGGAAACACCCCCAAAAUGAAAAGUCGGGUAAGUUUAUUAUGGUAUACUGUUUGAACACUACUAACGUUUAACGUUUAGGUAAACUUUAUAUGGAUUUGCCGAAGUGGAUGUAAGUGUACCAGAGCACUUGCGAAGGAUAUACAGCGAAUUCCCUCCAUCUUCAAAAACCAUUUGAUUUCUCGGACCUCAUAUGAAGGCUUUCGCGGAGAAAAAUAACAUCAUGAGCUCACCGAGACGUAGCUGUGAUCAGCAGUUUCAAGGGGGAAAAACAAACUUUCGCGACGCCGCUGCUAAAGUGGUACUUGGAACAUGGACUUUUGAUCACCAAAGUUUAUAUACAUUUACACGUGUAGUCUACGAGUUUAUACAUAUACAUUUACACGUGUACAAUUAUUAACUAAGUUUUUGAGAAUUUGUCUGCGAUGCCCGGCGUGCUGGUGAUAACGAUCCCACACAAGCCACCAUAGCUGACUGUGCAAAAAGUUAAUUGGAAAUUCAGCAUAUGGAAAACCUUGACCAACAAGCUGAAGUUCAAAGAUGUUGUCUUCAAAAGGGACCUCUUGUUAACAACAUGAUAAAGCGAAAACCUAUUGUUCACUGUGACGAGAUUGCCACGGACCUCUGAAAUCCAUAUGAGAAAGGAACAUAUACACCAAGACCUCCCGAUACAAAUCGGGGUGUUCGUAUAUGAUCUGGCAAAAUUAAAAUUGUUACAGUUUGUUUAUGAUGUAUUAUUCUUAUUUAUUGAUCCGUCUGACAUUACCCUUGUGCAGUGUGAUACUGAUUCAAUGUACUUUGGUUUAUCCGCAGACUCACUCGAUGAUGUUAUUAAAAAGCCCGAGUUGAGAAAACGAUUCUUUAACGAAUACGGUACUUGGUUUCCUGCCUUGGGGUGUGAUGCUCACAACGCUGAGUUUGUUGAAACCAGGACAGCCUUUAAGGCUUGGGUUCCAUAAAAGUGUUGCAAACAACGAACUCUUUGACAAACGCACAUUGGGGUUGUUUAAAGUUGAGUAUAGUGGUAACCGGUAUUGUUGCUUUGAAGUUGAGUAUAGUGGUAACCGGUAUUGUUGCUUUGAAUUCUAAAACAUACUACUGUACCGGGGAUGUUGAUAAGAUUAGCAGCAAGGGUUUGUCCAAAAGACACAUCAACCUCCAAUUUACCGAUUAUAAACAUGUGUUACAAACCAAACAAACUGUAACUGGUGAAAAUAUUUCAUUCCGAGUUUUUAACAACAAGGUAUACA
Non-coding RNA from Ciona intestinalis (vase tunicate), 1651 nucleotides. The record is from RefSeq and is a predicted model, not a curated record. Lineage: Eukaryota; Metazoa; Chordata; Ascidiacea; Phlebobranchia; Cionidae.